CCAGGGAGAGCACUAAUCUGUUCGUGAGGGAUCUGCCCCCUGACUCAAUCAGUUUCCAACACUGCCACCCUGGGGAUCAAACUUCCACGUGAGUUUUGGAGGGGACAACACAUCCAAACUCCAUCAACCAGCGCCACAGCUGUGGGAACUGUGACAAGCAGAAGACAUGGGUUCUGAGCUCCUUGCCCCGUUUUCUUCAGGCACCAGAAGCCCAUAAACUCAUUCUGGCUAGCACACAGAUCUGUACCUUUGACCUCGGUGUUAUCAACACCAUGCUCUAACCAAGUGAGCUAACCAGCCGGUGCAUGACUGUUUUCAGAUGAUUCAGCUCCAGCUCUGCCCACAUGGCCACAUCACCCCUCCCACACUCACCGACAUCUCCUAGCAACCAGCUCGCCACCUGCAUCCUGCAGCCUGAGGUCCCCAUUGGCUCGGGU
Long non-coding RNA from Cynocephalus volans (Philippine flying lemur), 437 nucleotides. RefSeq lists it as uncharacterized. The record is from RefSeq and is a predicted model, not a curated record. The transcript is spliced from 3 exons. NCBI's taxonomy places the organism in Eukaryota, Metazoa, Chordata, Mammalia, Dermoptera, Cynocephalidae.